RNAcentral lists this ribosomal RNA (817 nucleotides) under human gut metagenome. Its description in RNAcentral is "bacterial SSU rRNA". It matches the Rfam family "Bacterial small subunit ribosomal RNA", at positions 70 to 906 of the family's 1533-position model. The record is from RNAcentral.
AACCCAAACUUCGGUUUGGUUAUAAAGUGGCGAACGGGUGAGUAACACGUGACCAACCUGCCUUCUAGAUCGGGAUAACUCAAGGAAACUUGUGCUAAUACCGGAUACUCCGGAGCAAUCGCAUGGUAGCUCCGGGAAAGCUUUUGCGCUAGAAGAUGGGGUCGCGGCCUAUUAGCUAGUUGGUGGGGUAGAGGCCUACCAAGCCUGCGAUAGGUAGCCGGGUUGAGAGACUGAUCGGCCACAUUGGGACUGAGAUACGGCCCAGACUCCUACGGGAGGCAGCAGUGGGGAAUUUUGCGCAAUGGGGGCAACCCUGACGCAGCAACGCCGCGUGCGGGAUGAAGGUCUUCGGAUUGUAAACCGCUUUCAGUAGGGAAUAAGUAUGAAGGUACCUACAGAAGAAGCACCGGCUAAAUACGUGCCAGCAGCCGCGGUAAUACGUAUGGUGCAAGCGUUAUCCGGAAUCAUUGGGCGUAAAGCGCGCGUAGGCGGCUUGUUAAGCAGGAAUUUAAAUCUUAGGGCUCAACCUUAAGUCGGUUCCUGAACUGGCAGGCUCGAGUGCGGUAGAGGAAGGUGGAAUUCCCAGUGUAGCGGUGAAAUGCGCAGAUAUUGGGAAGAACACCGAUGGCGAAGGCAGCCUUCUGGGCCGCCACUGACGCUGAGGCGCGAAAGCUAGGGGAGCGAACAGGAUUAGAUACCCUGGUAGUCCUAGCCGUAAACGAUGGGCACUAGGUGUGGGGAGGAAUUCUCUCCGUGCCGCAGCUAACGCAUUAAGUGCCCCGCCUGGGGAGUACGGCCGCAAGGCUAAAACUCAAAG